RNAcentral lists this ribosomal RNA (275 nucleotides) under Buchnera aphidicola (Rhopalosiphum padi). RNAcentral's name for it is "partial 16S ribosomal RNA". It matches the Rfam family "Bacterial small subunit ribosomal RNA", at positions 8 to 278 of the family's 1533-position model. Lineage: Bacteria; Pseudomonadati; Pseudomonadota; Gammaproteobacteria; Enterobacterales; Erwiniaceae. The record is from RNAcentral.
AGAGUUUGAUCAUGGCUCAGAUUGAACGCUGGCGGCAAGCCUAACACAUGCAAGUCGAGCGGCAGCGAAAGAAAGCUUGCUUUCUUGUCGGCGAGCGGCAAACGGGUGAGUAAUAUCUGGGGAUCUACCCAAAAGAGGGGGAUAACUACUAGAAAUGGUAGCUAAUCCGCAUAAAGUUGAAAAACCAAAGUGGGGGAUCUUUUUUUUUCUCAUGCUUUUGGAUGAACCCAGACGAGAUUAGCUUGUUGGUAAGGUAAAAGCUUACCAGGCCGUUA